AAGGCUCUAAAGUGACCACUACCCAUAACCAGGUCCAAUUAACUAAACAAAUCAGAAAAAUAAAAGCUAAGACAAAUCUAGAACUCAAAAUUGGAAACAAUGUCCCGAUGAUUUACUCAGAACUCCACACCUAUUCUUUGGCCAGCCUCCGAUGAGACGACGCUCCCACAGCUCCCUCAGCUCCACCAAUCAACUAAGCUUAUCAAAACACCCAAGUUCAGAAUGAAAUUUUUUUUUCCGUUAAAAAAUCUCACUGACGCCAAGAUUCACUCUAAUGAAUACUUCUUCAACUUGUGUGGUAAAGAUCUAGGUUGUAGUAGAUGAAAGAGGUGGUCAAGAACAAUCGCCAGGAAAUCAUACUUGAGCUCGCAUCAGGGGUAAGCAUCCGAAGAUUAUCCAAGCUGAAAUUAUCGAUCUAAGGGACGGACGACACUCACGACCAUCCUCUUCAUGUCUAGAGUUUCUUUAGAUAUCAAGGAGUUGGUGAGUUCUCAUUCUAUCGUGGACAUGACUUUUAUUCUCGUUGUUUACUUGACUUUUCUUCUAUUGUUUUGGGUGAGCUAGGAGCUUGUCCUAAGCCCCCAUCAAAGACUAUACUAGAGGCAUGUUUAGACGAUGAUUUGAUGUAGUCCAUUUGGGCGUCGAUUAAGUAUUUAUAUCCCUUAGACCCAUU
Solanum dulcamara is the source of this 673-nucleotide long non-coding RNA. RefSeq lists it as uncharacterized. NCBI's taxonomy places the organism in Eukaryota, Viridiplantae, Streptophyta, Magnoliopsida, Solanales, Solanaceae. The transcript has 2 exons. The record is from RefSeq and is a predicted model, not a curated record.